Molecule: unclassified non-coding RNA, 997 nt
Filed under: Monomorium pharaonis (pharaoh ant)
Lineage: Eukaryota; Metazoa; Arthropoda; Insecta; Hymenoptera; Formicidae
Description: pIH1 domain-containing protein 1, transcript variant X1
Source: RNAcentral
UGUGCAUGUGUGCGCGCGUAUUCCAUAAUGGAAGACGCCACUUUUCUUGAAAUUGACGACUCUAUUAGGACUAAAAAUUUAUUAUUAUUUGAUAGAGAUAGGGAUACUUUAAAUCAGCAGAUGGACGAAUUUAUGAAACAAUUGGACACACCAUCUAUUCUUGUACAACCUAUUCCUGGCGUCUGCGUGAAAACCAAAACAGUUAAUGGAGAUAAAGUUUUUGUUAACAUAUGCACAUCCGAUAAAAUCCCACCACCAGAGGAUAUAUCUGAUACUAAGCUAUUUCAACUUAUAAAUGAUGAAGUACCUGCUUACACUAUACCAAUGAGUAUUGGUUCGGAAAGGAUGGAAGUGGAUAAAUCUGGGAAACCUAGUGCAACGUAUGAUGUCAUGAUAAAUACAAUAUAUUUUAAAAAAUGUCAAGAAAAGAAACAUUUCAUGGCAUUUACAACAUUAGUCAUAUUAAGUGGUGUGGCAGAUAAGUUUAACAAAGAGAUUGAUUCAGAAAAUUACGUUAUUCUUAAAAAUCGUCUAGUAAUGGGAAAACUUCAGCAACAUAGAAUAGAAAAUCGUAAGCCCAAAAAGCCACAAAGUCGCAAAUCAUUGAUUGAAGAAGUUUCACAUUCCACGAAGCCCAUCGAUAAGAUGGGAUCUGAUCUACAAGCUGGUGACAUAACAAAAACGGGUUAUGUAAUUUUAAGAGAACCAGCGAAAGGUUUCAAUCGAAGAUAUAGUAGUGUUGAUCAACUCAGAUCGCAUAAAUGUCACAGAUGAGAAAGCUUGUUAUUCAUAUGACGUUUUACUUCCCUAUAUACUCAAAGCAGAUAAUGCAAGAGCUUUUCUGGAUUACAAUAUUGGAGUGUUACGAAUAGAUAUAAUAAUAAAAUAAAUGCUAUCUUAGAAACGUAUAUUUGGUUUAAAAUAUAUCUGAAAAAGUAAAAAUAAAUAAUCUUGUUUAGAAUUAUAAAAAUUCAAUAAACAAAUAAGAUAUAAAAUA